Molecule: RNase P RNA, 422 nt
Filed under: Corynebacterium spheniscorum
Lineage: Bacteria; Bacillati; Actinomycetota; Actinomycetes; Mycobacteriales; Corynebacteriaceae
Description: Bacterial RNase P class A
Rfam family: Bacterial RNase P class A
About the family: Ribonuclease P (RNase P) is a ubiquitous endoribonuclease, found in archaea, bacteria and eukarya as well as chloroplasts and mitochondria.
Source: Rfam by way of RNAcentral
UGAGUUGGCUGGGUGAUCGCGAUCCUUGAACCACACCUCACCUUUGGGUGCGGUGUAGGCAAGUGGUCGAGGAAAGUCCGGACUCCACAGAGCACGGUGAUUGCUAACGGCAACCCGGGGUGACCCGAGGGCAUGUGCAACAGAAAGUAAACCGCCCCUACUUCGGUAGGGGUAAGGGUGAAAGGGUGCGGUAAGAGCGCACCGGCGGGGCAGGUGACUGCCCCGGCCAGGUAAACCCCACCGGGAGCAAGGCAAAACACGACAUACCUUGGUGUGUCGCGGCACAGGCGCUUAAAGGCUGCUCGCCUAGCCUGUGGGUAGCUGCUUGAGGCAACCAGCAAUGGUUCGCCCUAGAUGGAUGUUCACCGAACCGCGCUUAAGCACGCGGGGAACAGAAUCCGGCUUAUAGGCCAACUCAUUCG